ACAUGCAGAGAACUUUCCAGAGAUGGAUUGGUGCCUUCGGGAACGUCUGACACAGGUGCUGCAUGGCUGUCGUCAGCUCGUGUCGUGAGAUGUUGGGUUAAGUCCGUAACGAGCGCAACCCUUGUCCUUAGUUUACCAGCACGUUAUGGUGGGCACUCUAAGGAGACUGCCGGUGACAAACCGGAGGAAGGUGGGGGAUGACGUCAAGUCAUCAUGGCCCUUACGGCCUGGGCUACACACGUGCUACAAUGGUCGGUACAAAGGGUUGCCAAGCCGCGAGGUGGAGCUAAUCCCAUAAAACCGAUCGUAGUCCGGAUCGCAGUCUGCAACUCGACUGCGUGAAGUCGGAAUCGCUAGUAAUCGUGAAUCAGAAUGUCACGGUGAAUACGUUCCCGGGCCUU
This 401-nucleotide ribosomal RNA is filed under the name uncultured Pseudomonas sp. Its description in RNAcentral is "bacterial SSU rRNA". It matches the Rfam family "Bacterial small subunit ribosomal RNA", at positions 984 to 1382 of the family's 1533-position model. The record is from RNAcentral. Lineage: Bacteria; Pseudomonadati; Pseudomonadota; Gammaproteobacteria; Pseudomonadales; Pseudomonadaceae.